AUGGCAGCCGUUGCCGCUCAGUUGACAAGCAGCUCAAGUGAGGUAACCUACAACUAUGUUUCCAAGGCUGAAGCCUCCUUCUCGCGUCUACUUCUGACUGAUGACGGAGUAUACCAACGCCUGGUAUGGGACCCAACCAGCCGGUUGUGGAAGAUCUUCUUCCAAGCGCCGAGGGACAUCUGCGACCACUAUGGCAGGUGUGGGCCAUUUGGUCUGUGCAACGCCAAUGCUCCAUCAACGUCGUUCUGCAGCUGUGUACAGGGGUUCAGCCCGACAUCUCCAGUGCAGUGGAAGAUGAGGGACACCUCCAACGGUUGCCGCCGAAAGAUUGUACUGGACUGUGGCAAUGGAAUGUCCAGUACCACGGACGGUUUCGUGGUGAUAGACGGAGUGAAGCUUCCCAACACGCACAAUGUAUCGGUGAAUGCUAGCAUCACGUUGGAGGAGUGCAGGGCGAGGUGCCUGGCCAACUGCUCUUGUUUGGCGUAUGCGCCGUUGGAUCUCAAAGGAGGAGGCGCUGGAACUGGCUGCAUCAUCUGGACAGAGGACCUCAUGGAUCUCCAGUAUGUAGAUGGAGGGCAAAUCCUUUAUCUCAGAUCCACCAAGUCAGAUUUAGAUGGGCCAUCUGUAUCCAUGUUCCCAACUGGUAUCGUUAUCGGUGUAUCCGUAGCCUUGAUCAUCAUUCUGGUUCUCCUUGCCUUCUGGGUUAUUAUCACCAGGAGACGACAUCGCAUGCAAAGGGUAUUAGUACACAAUGGUCUGAGGGUGACAGGGGGUUCUGACAGCCAUUCUCCGAAUCCCGCUUCGCCCAUGAUGUCCGUCCCUACAAUUGAUCUCCAUACUAUAAUAGAGGCUACAGGAAGUUUCUCCGAUGCAAAUAAAGUUGUUGAAGAAGGAUUUAGUGUUGUCUACAAGGGGCAACUACCUGGUGGUACAGUGGUUGCUGUAAAGAGGCUCAAACAGUCUCUUCUUACUGAUAAAGGCAGGCAGCAUUUCUCAAGGGAAGUGGAAGUGAUGUCAACGCUUACCCAUGUCAAUCUUGCUAAGCUCCUCUACUAUUGCCGGGAAGGAGAUGAGUGGAUACUAGUCUACGAGUGGAUGGAGAAAAAAAGUUUGAAUCUUUACAUAUUUGGAGAAGAAGGACUCCGUUCCUCACUGAGUUGGGCGCAAAGACGGGAAAUAAUUCGAGGUGUGGCCAUAGGUGUUGAAUUUCUUCACGGCAGAGGAUUCAUUCACAGGGAUCUAAAACCUGCGAGCAUACUUGUCAGUGACACGUGGGUUCCAAAGAUAGCAGACUUUGCCACCGCAAAGCUAUUUAUUGACGAGCAGACAAAUUUGACAUUAGUACAGACACGGGGAUAUGUGGCUCCAGAGUAUAUAGGGGAAGGGGCCCUGACGUACAAGUGUGAUGUAUAUAGCUUUGGAGUCGUUUUGCUGGAGACAGUCAGUGGCAAAAGGAGAACAAGCAAUGCAACGUUCCUUCCUGAUGCCUGGGAAUUGUGGAAUCAAUGUAAGAGCGGGGAGCUUCUUGAUGUGGCGGUGGGUGGUGAACCUGAAGGUGAAGUCUUGUCGGGGCUACUCAGAUGCAUCCAGAUUGGCCUUCUCUGCGUGCAGUAUUUGCCAGAGCAUAGACCUUCAAUGUCUGAAGUUGUGGCAAUGCUAAACAACAGCUCAUAG
Molecule: ribosomal RNA, 1677 nt
Filed under: Triticum aestivum (bread wheat)
Lineage: Eukaryota; Viridiplantae; Streptophyta; Magnoliopsida; Poales; Poaceae
Description: partial small subunit ribosomal RNA
Source: RNAcentral